RNAcentral lists this ribosomal RNA (447 nucleotides) under uncultured bacterium. RNAcentral describes it as "bacterial SSU rRNA". It matches the Rfam family "Bacterial small subunit ribosomal RNA", at positions 355 to 825 of the family's 1533-position model. The record is from RNAcentral.
UAACGAAUCUUCCGCAAUGCACGAAAGUGUGACGGAGCGACGCCGCGUGGAGGACGAAGUUCUUCGGAAUGUAAACUCCUGUCAGGGGAAAGAAAGUUCUGAUCUACCCCAGAGGAAGAGGCGGCCAACUCCGUGCCAGCAGCCGCGGUAACACGGGGGGAGCAAGCGUUGUUCGGAUUCAUUGGGCGUAAAGAGCUCGUAGGCCGCUCUGUAAGUCGGAAGUGAAAGACCACGGCUCAACCGUGGAAACGCUUUCGAAACUGCGGAGCUUGAGGCCGGGAGAGGAGAUCGGAAUUCCUGGUGUAGCGGUGAAAUGCGUAGAUAUCAGGAGGAACACCCGUGGCGAAGGCGGAUCUCUGGACCGGUUCUGACGCUGAGGAGCGAAAGCUAGGGGAGCAAACAGGAUUAGAUACCCCGGUAGUCCCUGAGCGGGCUGGCAAGGCGCAU